This 769-nucleotide long non-coding RNA is filed under the name Mytilus galloprovincialis (Mediterranean mussel). Lineage: Eukaryota; Metazoa; Mollusca; Bivalvia; Mytilida; Mytilidae. The record is from RNAcentral.
AAAAAAAUUAAUUUAAGGUUAAAAAGUUUCAUGCUUUUUUUUCAUUUUCUUAAUCUUUAAAAAAAAAAUAGACAUUCAAAAAUAAUUUAACAAAAAAAUAAAAUAAGAAAAAAAAUGUUACCUUCAAAAGUCAUAUUACCAAAAUUGAACAAAAUUCCUCAACCUCACUUCGCUUUGUCUGAAAGCUUUAUUUCAAAAAAUUCUCUGUAUAAAUAAACCAAAAUCAAAUAAUUAAAUAUACUCUUGUAAAUGUGUACUGCAAACAUAAACUAUUGAUAUUGUAUGAUUAUGGAAUUCCAUAGCUGUCUUAUGUGUUAAAUUUAAUGCUAUGAUGAUUCUUUGUCCUUAUAUGCUGAUACUUUGUCAUGUUGAUACUGUGUUAGUACAUCUUGACAAUUGGUCAUAUUGGUUAUAUGCUGAUACUAUAUUAUUUAAUGCUGAUUGUUUAUCCUGAUACUUUAUCAGUAUAUGCUAUUACUUUGUCAUUAUAUGCUUAUACUUUAUUAUUAUAUGCAAAACUUUAUCAUUAUAUGCUGAUACUUUAUUAUUAAAUGCUGAUUGUUUAUCGUGAUACUUUCUCAUUAUAUACUGAUACUUUCUCUCUAUAUGCUGAUACUUUCUCAUUAAAUUAUGAUACUUUAUCAUUAUGAUACUUUGUCAUGAUGAUACUUGGUCAUUAUGAUACUUUGUCAUUAUGAUACUUUGUCAUUUUGAUACUUUGUCAUUUUGAUACUUUGUCAUUAUGAUACCUUGUCAUUAUGAUACUUUG